UACCCCACAACAUCCUUCUCUCCAAACUGGAGAGAGAUGGAUUUGAGGGGGAGACUGUUAGGUGGAUAAGGACUUGGUUGGACAGUCACGUUCAGUGAUGUCACUCAGGAGCCCAUAUUGGAACCUGUGCUAUUUCAUAUCUUCAUUAAUGACACAGAUUAAGGGAUGGAGUGCACCCUCAGCAAAUUUGCAGAUGACACCAAGCUGAGUGGUGCAGUUGCCACACCUGAGGGAUGGGAUGCCAUCCACAGGCUCAGUGAGUGGCCCCACGGGAACCCCAUGGGGUUCAACAAGACCAAGACAAGGUGCUGCACCUGAGCUGGGGCAACCCCCAGUACCAACACAGGCUGGGGAACGAACAGAUCAAGAGCAGCCUUGGGGAGAAGGACCUGGGGGUGCUGCUGGAUGAGAGGCUGGACAUGACCCAGCCAUGUGCACUCACAGCCCAGAGAGACAAACAUGUCCUGGGCUGCCUCCAAAGCAGGAUGGCCAGAAGGGUGAGGGAGAGGAUUCUGCCCCUCUGCUCUGCUCUGGUGAAACCCCAGCUGCAGGGCUGCAUCCAGCUCUGGGGUCUCCAACAUGGACCUGCUGGAGUGAGUCCAGAGGAGGCCGCAAAGCUGCUCAGAGGGCUGGAGCACCUCUCCUAUAAAGACAGGCUGAAAGAUGGGGUUACUCAGCCUGAGAAGUCCUUAAAGAAGAAUUCCAGUGCUUGAAGGGGUCGACAAGAGAGAUGUGGGACAAAGAAGUUAGCACGGUCUGUUGUAAUAGGACAAGGGCUAAUGGUUUUAAACUGAAUAGGGGUCAUUUUAGAUUGAAUAUAAGGAAGAAGUUUUCUACAAUGAGGGUGAUAAAACCCUGGCAUAUGUUGCCCAGAGAGAUACUGGAUAUCCCAUCCCUGGAAACAUUCAGGGUCAGGUUGGACAGGCUGGUCAACUGAUGAAGUUGGAGAUAUCCCUGCCCAUUGCAGGAUAAUAGGACUAUUUGUAUUCUGUGGAUAAUUCUUUUUAAGACUGCACCAAAUCUGUCUUCCUAAGCCAAAGAGAACCACUUGCUAGAUUUUUAAAGGCAUCUAAGAAUCUAGAAGUUAUUUUAAAAUACAGUCAGGGAACCCUAAAUAUCCCAAAGUAUUCUGAGGAAGAUACAUUCAUAUUUCAGAAUCAAUAAUUACAUUGAUUUUCAUAAAUUUAAUAAAUCACAUUCCUCCAGAAAAAUGUGAUUGUGAAAGUAAGUAAAGAAGAAGAAAAUGUCACAAGAGUUAAGUAUCUGAAACUUUCAUUUAUCUGAAACCACAUACUUUCAAGAUCGAAUGCAUUUGUCAGGCAAAAACCUCCUCUCUGUAGUAAAUGCCACUGAUAUCUACUUUCAGAUAUAACAAUUAUAUAAUCUCAGUUUAAUCUAGAUUUUAAUGUUCAGCAGGAAUAUCCUGCCUCUGCUACAACUUUCACAACUUCUGAGUGGAAGGCACAUUGAUACUAAAAGGCUUUAGCCCUCUCUUACUUGACAUAUUAAUUCUGGAAUUUAUUCCUAAACUAUAAACAAUUAGCAGGAUGAACCACCUCUCCUACAAAGAAAGGCUAAGAAAAUUUGGAUUGUUCAAGCUGAAAAGGCUCCAGGGUGACAUAAUUGUAGCCUUCCAGUACCUGGAGAGACCCCACAAGAAUGGUGGAGUUUUUCCAAGGGCAUGUGGUGACAGUGACAGGACAAGGGGAAAUAGUUUUAAACUGAAAAGGAUGUUUACAUAGGAUAUUAUGAAGAAAUUCUUUAGUCUGAGGGUGGUGAGACACUGGAAGAUGUUGCCCAGAGAAGCUGUGGAUGCCCUAUCCCUGGCAGUGUUGAAAGCCAGGCUGGACGGGGCUUUGAGCAACCUGGCCUAGUGGGAGGUCUCCCUGUCCACGGCAGGGGAUUGGAAUGAGGUGAUCUUUAAGGUCCCUUCCAAUACAAACCAUUCUAUGAUUCUACUUUUUUCUGCAAAUCAGAUUUGGCAGUAAGUGAGUGAGGGAAUUCUAGCACAAUUGUACUCCCAUCCCAGAUCGAUGUCCCAGGUUUGGACUGAAUCCUUUCCUGUGUGUUGGCCUGUUUCCUCAAUAGUCUUCUCUCUUCCGUGCUCUGGAUGUUGGCAGGAGGUUACAUGCCCUUAAAAGAGACAUAUGGCACAGAAGUGCCUUGAUAAAUGACAGCUACCCAGAACAGAUCUCUUUAACAUUUACAUUAAGUAAUCGAGACAGUGAAGGGAUUGAGAAGUGAGCACGUGCUUUUAUCGAGCUUUUCCACUUAGGCUCAUGCCAAAUCCAUGAGGCAAUUGCCACCAGCCUGCACAAACCGAUGACUAGGAGGCAAUUCCUGCACACCUCACAGAGACACCUGGAUCUCAGGCAUGCAUGGAGGAGAAGUGCUACACACACCCCGGCUGGGGGAAAGGCUUAACUGAGGCUUGUGUCUCAGACACCACAGGGACCGAGGCUUCAUCAGAUGGGCCCAGGUGCAUCUGCCCCAUGCAGAGCUGCUGCUGCCCCAUUUCUCCUCACCCUCUCUCAGCCUUGCUUCCCAGUGUCCUGAGCCUGGAUGUCCCACAUGGCCAAAGCCUCUCACCUCCUGCAAGUUCACCCCAGGCUUCCUGCUCCUUCCCUGCUGCCCCCCAGGGCACACCUGAGUGCCCACAGAGUGAGGUGCUGGGCUGGGGGACCACAGAAUCCUUAGGGUUGGAAGGGAUAUCUGGAGAUCACCAAGGCAGGGGCAGCUACAGCAGGUUACACAGGAAUGCAUCCAGGCUGGUUUCAAAUAUCUCCAGGGAAAGACACUCCACAACUCUCCUGGGCUGCCUAUUCCAGUUCUCUGCCACUCUCAAUGUAAAGAAGUUCUUCCUCAUGUUGAGGUGGAGCUUCCUGAGCUUUAGUUUAGGGCUUUCGUUUAUUGCUCCGCAUCUUCUCACCGGAGUCCACUGAAGAGAGUCUGGCACCAUCCUCUUAGCACCCACGUGUGCCGUAUUUGUUUAUAUUGAUUAGAUCUGUCUGUCUUCUCCUCUCUAGAUUAAAUAGGCCCAGCUCCCAGAGUCUCUCCUCAUAAGAGAGAUGCUCUUGUCCUGAGGAGCCCAGAACAGGAUAUAUCCUCCAGAUGCGGCCGAAUAGAGGGGAGGAUCCUCCAGCUGCAGUGACAGGAAGACACCCGAGCUGCGGAGGGACGCAGGCCGGUCUCUCC
This is a long non-coding RNA of Taeniopygia guttata (zebra finch), 3195 nucleotides long. The record is from Ensembl. Lineage: Eukaryota; Metazoa; Chordata; Aves; Passeriformes; Estrildidae.